UACGAGAGGCCCAAGCGUUGUUCGGAAUUACUGGGCUUAAAGAGUUCGUAGGCGGCCUGACAAGUCGGGUGUGAAAGCCCUCGGCUCAACCGAGGAAUUGCGCUCGAAACUGUCGUGCUCGAGGAACCUAGAGGUGAGCAGAACAGAUGGUGGAGCGGUGAAAUGCGUUGAUAUCAUCUGGAAUACCGGAGGCGAAGGCGGCUCACUGGGGGUUUUCUGACGCUGAGGAACGAAAGCCAGGGUAGCGAACGGG
Molecule: ribosomal RNA, 253 nt
Filed under: uncultured bacterium
Lineage: Bacteria
Description: partial 16S ribosomal RNA
Rfam family: Bacterial small subunit ribosomal RNA
Source: RNAcentral